Molecule: transfer RNA, 77 nt
Filed under: Alteromonas australica
Lineage: Bacteria; Pseudomonadati; Pseudomonadota; Gammaproteobacteria; Alteromonadales; Alteromonadaceae
Description: tRNA-Arg
Rfam family: tRNA
About the family: Transfer RNA (tRNA) molecules are approximately 80 nucleotides in length.
Source: RNAcentral
GCACUCGUAGCUCAGUUGGAUAGAGCAUCAGUCUUCUAAACUGGCGGUCAUAGGUUCGAAUCCUAUCGAGUGUGCCA